UACUAAUCCACAGGGAGAGACUGCCGUAAUUCCACCACCACCACCACUUACUGUCGAUUGAGCCCUUGGAAUGUGCCAGCUCUGCACUGGGCUCUAUGCUCGGAUUAUCUAAUUUAAUCAUCACAACUGCGAUUUGAAGAUUGAACCCGGGACUUCAUGCAUCAUAGGCAGAAGCUGAAGCUUGAGGCAGCUGGAGAGAUGCCUUAGCAGUUGAAUACCUGAUACUCUAGCAGAGAACGCAUCACCUGAGUUCCAUUCCUAGCACCCAUGUAAGGUAAGC
Molecule: non-coding RNA, 280 nt
Organism: Rattus norvegicus (Norway rat)
Lineage: Eukaryota; Metazoa; Chordata; Mammalia; Rodentia; Muridae
Source: RefSeq, a predicted model, not a curated record